AGACACUUGGUUAUUGUUUUUCCAACACUCAAAAGAAUUUUUUUAGAAGGAUAAUAUGUAUGCAAACAUGCAGGUGUAUGCGUGUUUUCAUCUCAUGUACUUAUCUGUGUAAAUUUUAUGUAUGCAGCUGUGUGCAUUGUUUGUGAAUAUCUUCUGUUGUGCGGGUUAACACAAAGGAAUGGUUGUAUACAGGAAGGGUGGACUUAUUGGUAGUUCAAAUUUCCCCUCAAUAAUGGGUGUCAUGAAGGAAAUUGAGAUAAUGCAUUUACCAUCACGGAUGCAAUGGACAUGAACUUGGGCAAACUUCGGGAGAUGGUGAAGGACAGGGAGGUGUGGCAUGCUGCAGUCCAAGGGGUUGCAAAGAGUCAGACACGAAUGGGCAACUGAACAACAAUAAUAAGUAGUUUCCUCUGUCUUUUUACUCCAAAUGGAAAAAGGUAAAAUUUAGAGAGGAAACAUUUCAUUCCAAUGUUCUCACUAAGAAAGCUUCAGAGUCAGGUAACUGGUAUCUGGAUGUUCUGAAAAACACACAUCAAGGAGAAAGGCAUCAGUACUUAGAUAUCAUUUCUCAUUUUCUGGAAGAAAUUUAUGACUAAAUGGUCUGAGAAGGUGUUCUUUAAGUUAACCUGUAGUGCUCUUGGAUUGAUUUUGUUUGUAUGUUAACUUGAUUGUUUAUGCUUUUCCCAGGUCAGCCCACUCCAGUGCUCUUGCCUGGAGAAUCCCAGGGACGGGGGAGCCUGAUGGGCUGCCAUCUAUGGGGUCGCACAGAGUCGGACACAAGUGAAGCAACUUAGCAGCAGCAGCAGCUCAAGCCUGGUAAGUUAGUUCAUCAAACUGAGGGGAAUCGUGCUUCUUUUCAGACUGUUUUUAUUUGGCAUAAAGGAGCUGAUCUUAUACUCUCUUCUUACAGUUGGUGCCAUAUUGCAUGCCAGGAAUGGAAAGCAAUGACGUUUUCCUCCAAGCGCAUUGAUCUACAAGAACCCAAGCAAAGAAGAGGUGUGAUAUUUAUGGGAACCUCUUGGAGACUUCAGCAUUGGAUGCACGGACCAGAAUGGUGA
This 1058-nucleotide long non-coding RNA is filed under the name Ovis aries (sheep). RNAcentral's name for it is "lncRNA (ENSOARG00000025788.1)". Lineage: Eukaryota; Metazoa; Chordata; Mammalia; Artiodactyla; Bovidae. The record is from RNAcentral.